Long non-coding RNA from Homo sapiens (human), 977 nucleotides. The record is from Ensembl. NCBI's taxonomy places the organism in Eukaryota, Metazoa, Chordata, Mammalia, Primates, Hominidae.
GACAGAUGCAUCACUGGAUCCUAACUAAACACUUUGUUCCAUCUCCCUGUGACCAGAGUAUUGUACCACAAUCCCAGUUGUUUGCAAUAAAUGGCUUGUCUUGAUUUUCCAGAUUAUAGCUAGAAGAUUGCCUCAAACGAUGAAUUGUAGAAUGGAGCAGGAUGUCUGUGUGUCUGCGUCUUCACCCGGGUUUUUCAGGCCACUGUGUCUGUGAACUUAGCUCUAUGAAAGCAAGAAGCCUAUGAGAAUUCCGCCAGGGGCAAGCCUGGCCUUGGCGCUUCACUGUCUUAGCGUGUGUCUGGCCCUCCCAUUCCUGGCCAAGGCCCACAGCCACCACAGAUGACCUGCUGAUGCCUCUGCUGAAAUCCGUGGCCACUGGCCAACAGCUUGACAAGAGUGUCAGCUCCCUCCCGAGACGAAAUCAGAGGAAAACGCCUCUAGUUUCUAAGAAGCACACAGGGAGCCACUUCUUUACCGCUAGCUCCUGCAGGAUCUGUGGGAUCCUGCAGGUGCUGGUUUGCCUCCUGAGCCCUGUCCUAAGGACACUCUGCACAUCGCCUCCUGAUGGGCUUUCACAUUCAAGAGACACUGGAGCUGCCAUAACCUUGAGUGGACAUGAGCUUGGCCAGAUUGCACUGUCCAAAUGCCAGGACCCAGGGCCCCGGGGAGGUCUCUGGUGCAUGCGGCAGUGCUCUUGGAGGAUCUUGAUCACUCCAGCGCAUUCCUUGCAGCAAUCUGCACUUGGAACAGCGUUUGAUAUGGAAGGAAACACUAGUAUAAUAUCAAGUUGUGUAUAAUUGCAAAACUUGCUGUCUCGGAUGUGAAAUAAAUUCGGCUAAUUUGUUGGUAGGAGCUAUCAUAGUAUUUUUUUGGUAUCAAUGUCACUGGAGACUAUAUCCCUGAAUAAGUGCCAGGCACUGGCUCUGAACUAACUAAAUGCUUUGCAUGUGUUAUUUCAUUAAAUCCUCACAAUAAUC